UGAGACACGGUCCAGACACCUACGUGGUGGCAGCAGUCGAGAAUCAUUCGCAAUGGGGGAAACCCUGACGAUGCGACGCCGCGUGGAGGAUGAAGUGCCUUAGGGGUUUGUAAACUCCUGUCAAGAGGGAAUAAGCAAGUGAAGGUACCUCUAGAGGAAGGGGCGGCUAAUUCCGUGCCAGCAGCCGCGGUAACACGGAAGCCCCGAGCGUUGUUCGGAUUCAUUGGGCGUAAAGGGUGCGUAGGCGGCGCGGAAAGUCCGGCGUGAAAGGCAGAGGCUCAACCUCUGGACUGCGUUGGAUACUUCCGUGCUUGAGGACUGGAGGGGAGACUGGAAUUCACGGUGUAGCAGUGAAAUGCGUAGAUAUCGUGAGGAAGACCGGUGGCGAAGGCGAGUCUCUGGACAGAUCCUGACGCUGAGGCACGAAGGCUGGGGGAGCGAACAGGAUUAGAUACCCUGGUAGUCCCAGCAGUAAACGAUGUGAGCUUGAUGUGGGGGGAUUCGACCCCUUCCGUGUCGAAGCUAACGCGAUAAGCUCACCGCCUGAGGAGUACGGCCGCAAGGCUAAAACUCAAAGAAAUUGACGGGGACCCGCACAAGCGGUGGAGUAUGUGGCUUAAUUCGAUGCAACGGGAAGAACCUUACCUGGCCUUGACAUGCAUUGUGUCGUCGGUGAAAGCCGGCUAGUCCUGGAAACAGGACGCUUUGCACAGGUGUUGCAUGGCUGUCGUCAGCUCGUGUCGUGAGAUGUUGGGUUAAGUCCCGCAACGAGCGCAACCCUUGUGGUCAGUUACUAACCGGCUUAGCCGGAGGACUCUGGCCAGACUGCCCUGUCAAACGGGGAGGAAGGUGGGGACGACGUCAAGUCAGUAUGGCCCUUAUGGCCAGGGCUGCACACGUACUACAAUGCCCGGUACAAUGUGAACCGAAACCGCGAGGUGGAGGAAAUCGCUCUUGAAAACCGGGCCCAGUUCGGAUUGGAGUCUGCAACUCGACUCCAUGAAGUCGGAAUCGCUAGUAAUGGCGUAUCAGCAACGACGCCGUGAAUACGUUCCCGGGUCUUGUACACACCGCCCGUCACAUCAUGGAAGUCUCCUGUACCCGAAGCACGUGCGCCAACCUUUUAGGAGGCAGCGUUCGAAGGUAUGGGAGGUAACUGGGAUGAAGU
RNAcentral lists this ribosomal RNA (1168 nucleotides) under uncultured organism. RNAcentral describes it as "bacterial SSU rRNA". It matches the Rfam family "Bacterial small subunit ribosomal RNA", at positions 320 to 1486 of the family's 1533-position model. The record is from RNAcentral.